GGAUGCAUAGCUCAGUGGUAGAGCAGUUGACUGUUAAUCAAUUGGUCCAUGGUUCGAAUCCAUGUGUGUCCGC
Molecule: transfer RNA, 73 nt
Filed under: Escherichia phage vB_EcoM_ESCO47
Lineage: Duplodnaviria; Heunggongvirae; Uroviricota; Caudoviricetes; Pantevenvirales; Straboviridae
Description: tRNA-Asn
Rfam family: tRNA
About the family: Transfer RNA (tRNA) molecules are approximately 80 nucleotides in length. Their secondary structure includes four short double-helical elements and three loops (D, anti-codon, and T loops). Further hydrogen bonds mediate the characteristic L-shaped molecular structure. tRNAs have two regions of fundamental functional importance: the anti-codon, which is responsible for specific mRNA codon recognition, and the 3' end, to which the tRNAs corresponding amino acid is attached (by aminoacyl-tRNA synthetases). tRNAs cope with the degeneracy of the genetic code in two manners: having more than one tRNA (with a specific anti-codon) for a particular amino acid; and 'wobble' base-pairing, i.e. permitting non-standard base-pairing at the 3rd anti-codon position.
Source: RNAcentral